Long non-coding RNA from Lathyrus oleraceus (garden pea), 803 nucleotides. RefSeq lists it as uncharacterized. The transcript is spliced from 2 exons. The record is from RefSeq and is a predicted model, not a curated record. Lineage: Eukaryota; Viridiplantae; Streptophyta; Magnoliopsida; Fabales; Fabaceae.
CCCAAUGCGUGGGAAAAGGGAUGGAAAGGAGCUCAGGUUCCCUCAUUUAGUUUUCAACCCUAAGCAAAUACGCUUUCUCCCUCUCUCACAUCUCCCUUCGCUAAAAAUUGCUUUGCCGCACCGGAGGCGCUGGGGCCAGCCAGAACCAAAUAUAACCACCACCAACGGACUUGUUUUUUCAUCCUCCCUCUAUUUCUCAACCUCUUAUCGCCUAAAAGUAAAUCCAUAUCCUUAAUUUGAAUUGCAACCUCAAGAACCGUAGAAUACACAAACUAAAAUUAAAUGACCUGGAAUGGGAAUCAAAGCUAGAGACUUUGGGGCUUUGAUUCCCCACUACAAUGUCCUUAUCCUAGUAACAAAAUUGAUGCGAAAUAAGGAAGAAUUGAAAGAACAAUCCUACCUAAAGGGCGGAGAAGUGCCCUGGGAAGUGUUGAAUGCUUGAAGAAGGAGAUGAAGACAAGAAUACCAGAGGAUGCGAACCAAGGUUGGUUGUAAGGUUGGGUAGGGUGAACCAAUCUUGGUUUGGCAUGGCAUAAUCAAGGUUUGGCAUCAUGGUGGAGGCUUGGUAUGGAAAUGAAUCAUGAAGAGAUUUUGGAGCACUUGAAGAACUUGGAGGUACAAAAAUGGAAGACCUUGAGGAUGAAGAGAAAAGCAUUAGGGCUUAGGAUAAGUUUGACUUUGGUCAAUUGUUUGACUAAAAGUCAACCUUAGGUCAAAAAAGUGUUUUUUUGUGUAAUUUGUAAUUUUGGAUUUUGUAAUGUGAUUUUAUGAUUUUGUAAUGUAAUCUUGGCCCUUGAAUGGUA